RNAcentral lists this ribosomal RNA (403 nucleotides) under Verrucomicrobiota bacterium. RNAcentral describes it as "Verrucomicrobia bacterium partial 16S ribosomal RNA". It matches the Rfam family "Bacterial small subunit ribosomal RNA", at positions 355 to 776 of the family's 1533-position model. Lineage: Bacteria; Pseudomonadati; Verrucomicrobiota. The record is from RNAcentral.
UGGGGAAUAUUGCACAAUGGGCGCAAGCCUGAUGCAGCAACGCCGCGUGAACGAUGAAGGUCUUCGGAUCGUAAAGUUCUGUUGCAGGGGAAGAUAAUGACGGUACCCUGUGAGGAAGCCCCGGCUAACUACGUGCCAGCAGCCGCGGUAAUACGUAGGGGGCUAGCGUUAUCCGGAUUUACUGGGCGUAAAGGGUGCGUAGGUGGUCUUUCAAGUCGGUGGUUAAAGGCUACGGCUCAACCGUAGUUAGCCUCCGAAACUGGAAGACUUGAGUGCAGGAGAGGAAAGUGGAAUUCCCAGUGUAGCGGUGAAAUGCGUAGAUAUUGGGAGGAAUACCGGUGGCGAAGGCGACUUUCUGGACUUGAACUGACGCUGAGGCACGAAAGCGUGGGGAGCAAACAGG